This 76-nucleotide transfer RNA is filed under the name Actinoplanes teichomyceticus. RNAcentral describes it as "tRNA-Lys". It matches the Rfam family "tRNA". Rfam says of the family: Transfer RNA (tRNA) molecules are approximately 80 nucleotides in length. Their secondary structure includes four short double-helical elements and three loops (D, anti-codon, and T loops). Lineage: Bacteria; Bacillati; Actinomycetota; Actinomycetes; Micromonosporales; Micromonosporaceae. RNAcentral also lists the same sequence under 1 other name. The record is from RNAcentral.
GCGUCGCUAGCUCAACUGGCAGAGCAGCGGACUCUUAAUCCGCGGGUUGUAGGUUCGAGUCCUACGCGACGCACCA